UACAGAGGGUGCAAGCGUUGUUCGGAAUUACUGGGCGUAAAGCGCGUGUAGGCGGUCUGGUAAGUCGGUCGUGAAAUCCCUAGGCUUAACCUAGGAACUGCGAUCGAAACUGUUAGACUUGAGUAUCGGAGGGGAUGGCGGAAUUCCUGGUGUAGAGGUGAAAUUCGUAGAUAUCAGGAGGAACACCUGCGGCGAAGGCGGCCAUCUGGAAGAUUACUGACGCUGAGACGCGAAAGCGUGGGGAGCAAACAGG
This 253-nucleotide ribosomal RNA is filed under the name uncultured bacterium. Its description in RNAcentral is "partial 16S ribosomal RNA". It matches the Rfam family "Bacterial small subunit ribosomal RNA", at positions 524 to 776 of the family's 1533-position model. The record is from RNAcentral.